GAUGGAAAUAUACGAGUGUGCGUGGA
Molecule: small RNA, 26 nt
Filed under: Bombyx mori (domestic silkworm)
Lineage: Eukaryota; Metazoa; Arthropoda; Insecta; Lepidoptera; Bombycidae
Description: ovarian small RNA-16160
Source: RNAcentral